Molecule: long non-coding RNA, 2298 nt
Filed under: Zea mays
Lineage: Eukaryota; Viridiplantae; Streptophyta; Magnoliopsida; Poales; Poaceae
Description: long non-coding RNA (ZMAY_LNC005458)
Source: RNAcentral
UCGCGGCCGCGCCGCAUCCACAUCCCUCAUACGCCCGCAAUCGCCCCAGCCGUGCAUCCCGCAGUCGCGCCGCAUACGCCCGCAGCCACGUCGUUUGGCUUCAGUGGCACCCAUCGGCACCGGCGAUCUUGCUCGCCGCACUCCUCAUUCUCGUCCUUGUUUCUAUGGGCUCCUACUCCGGUCAGGGUGUAGUGCCCAAGUUCGGCGACUAUGAGGCGCAAUGGCACUAGAUGGAGCUCACAUUCCACCUCACACCCUCAGGUUGGCUGCAACACCUCCGACAAUGACUUUUCCUACUAGGGCCUAGAUUACCGGCCCCUCUCCACUUACCAGAGCCUCCUCCACGGUCGCAUCAUCAACGCCUCACUCCCCGAGGUCGUCGCUCUCUACUCCUCCCAUGGCUAUGAAUCUAAGGAAUUGUAUACGCCCUCUCCAGUAGAUUCUUCCUGCUCGUUGUGUGGCAAAUUGUGUGUUGUUAAGACUUGUUGUUGAUUUGUCCGCUAGGAAGUUGCUGAAGCGGUGGACGGUUGUUGGUGUUCUUCCUAGCUGCUCUGAGGUCUGUGUGGGCGUACAUGAAAUUUGGAGUGAGUAUUAGUGGAGAGGAGCUACGGGAGGGGUGGAUGUGGCUGCUAGCCAUGGUCCUCAUCAGUCCUUGCUUGGUAUUGAUUGGUGCAGAAAGUGCACGGACAAGCAGAGUGCUUUGCCUUGCAUUUUGUUUGUAGACUGACAACUAUGUGUUGUAUUGCAGUAUAACUGCAUUAGCCUUGGACUUAAGUCGGAUAACAUGGUUGAGAUGGAUAAGAUAAAUCUUAUCAACUGCAACUUUGGUUGUUCUUCUAAAUAAAAAUCCUAGAAAAAAAUCUGCUUUUCAUAUCAUGCAUAAAUUGAUUUGGGAGUCCUUUUGUUAGCCGAAGCAUAAAGUUUUCUUUUAGAUCUUGUCAAACCUAGACUUAGCACUAGAAACAUUAUGAGGAGAAGGCAUAUGAAUUGGAAUCCUAUGACUGUUUUGUGACAGCAAUUAGUAGAAGAAAUUUUGGACCAUAUGUUCUUCCAGUGCCCCUUUGUUGCUUCUUGUUGGAACCUGCUCCUGAUAAUCACAUGAGAAAACCACAGAAAGCUAAACCAUGGUAGAUUCAAUAGGUUAGAUUAUGCUUGACAAAUAAAAUACACUAGGUUCUCAUCUAGGUAGUAUCCACCUGAUAUUGAUUUGUUGAUGGGCUUGCUUUUCUCCUAACCGCAAGUUUCUCUCGACUCUUGCUGCAGUUGCCCUGUUCCUCAGCGUUCAAGUCAGGAAUUCUGGUCAAUGAGUGCCAACUGUCUGCAAAAAUGUGCACUCCUUGGCAUGACUCUUCAUCCUCCUUGUAAUGGAAACAAGCAAUGUCUCUUUGUUAGGGUACCUUAGAACAUCAUGUUGUACACUGUGCAGUGUAAAAGGGAAGUAAUGCCUGCUUUUGGAGUCCGCGAUUAUGUAGACUACCACAUGAUUAAGUGUGAAAACCUUUGGAGGUCAAUCAUCAUUGGUUUAUAAUAAAGGAGUAGCAAAAACAUGAUUAAGGUAUGUUUAUUGCAUAAUUCAUGGGUCACGUUAAAUCAUUUGCCUUCAUUUCUUUCCUUUUCUUCCCAUGUUAAUCAGUUGCUCAUAUGUAGGUACUAUGGUUAAUUGUUAGGUAGCCUUGAUUGCAUCUUUAGUUUAAGCUUUGGUUUCAAAAAUAAAUUCGACCCGCCUUUCAGAAAAUGUAUUUUUUCAAUGUGCACCGAGUUCAACAUUUGUUACUUCUCCUAUGCCACACAAAUAAACUGUUGGACAUCCCUGAUUCUGAAUGUACCUGAGGGCAAUCCUGUGCAAUUAAAUGUUUCCGACAUUUCAAAACGUCUUCUGAUAUGCUUAUCUUAUCUUGGUAUGUACUCUUUGUCAUAAAAUUUAUUGGUCUGCCUUUAAAGAGCGCAGUGUUUUAAUCUUGGCCGGCCUUUUCAUUCGUGUGGGGUGUGGCAUUUGGAUUUGGUGCAUUGCUUAGACAAUAUUUUGGCCAGCUUCUGCCAACUUACCAUACCAUGUCAAGACUCAAGACAUUAUAUCUACUCAGUGUUGAUGCCAGAUAAGAUAUCGCCUCAAAUAUUCAUUAGACAUAUUAUUGAUUUCAAUUUGAUUAGCUUCUUCAGGUAGAAGGCAUGCAGGUCCAUGCGAAUGAGGGCAUUACUCAAACUCGGGGUGGCAUAUAUUGGAUAAUCUUGCCCGCUGGAUGUAAAUCACUUGUACCUCACUUUAUUCUUUCUUUUUUUUCCUCGAACACGUAGGAG